CCUCCUAGACUGCAGAGUUGAACAGGUGAAAACCUCAUUUCCCGGAAUCCCAGGAAGUAGGACUCUAGACAUCACUUAGGAUCCACCUUCUGAGGGAAAUGGCGGAGGUUAAAUUUGGAGUCAAGUGGCCAGAAAGGCAGAGGCUGAGACACCUAUUUCAACUGGUGUGCCAUGAGCAGAGGUGCAUUGAGCCAUCACCGGAUACGAACAUUACAAUGAGGCCACCAAGAAGCAACAGUUACUAUUAUUGUAACCUGGGGGAGAGCAGCAUCCAAGAAAUCUUACAAAAGACUUGUGGCCAUUUUCCUAUGUAUCAAGAAAAUGUGAAAGCCAUCUCCUCAGGACCAAAUUUACACUGAUCGAUGAAGUGCUUCGCCAAUUUAGACAGUAAGAGGUUGUUUAAUUAUAGCAGGGUAGCGGUGCAUAUUACACCAAACAUUUGUUUUACAUCUGAAAGCCCUGGAAAUGGAAAUUAAUAGAUUCACGCAGGAAUGAACUUACUUGUGGGGGCCCAGUGAUUCCGAGUAGACCAGCAAUUACUCAUUUUUCUUUGAAUUCAUUUCUGUGAUGGAAACACAAAAAAGUGAUUUCAAGAAGGAAAAUCGUUGCAUGGAAAUCUGGCAAGUUUUCACAAGGACUGAAUUGCUCUUUUGUUUCCUGCCCAGCAAUAUGAGAUUGUCAGCUGAAACUGGGUCUCUGCUGUGUUAGCAGAGGCAGAGAAGGCUCUGUGUCCAGCAAUGGCCCUGCCCUGGGACCAGCCUCCCAGGAGUUUCCAGAGCAUCCAGAGGAGAACGGAAAGCAGGUCCUUGGGAGAACAGGGCACUGCCAGCAUUCGGAUAACGAGCAAGCAUUCCAGAGGAAAGACAGCUGGCAGAUGUGGUCCACCACGAAUUGGGAUCAAACUUUAAUGUCAUUGUCAUGAAGAUAAAAAAGCAAAAAGGAAUAAUGAAGUCAACCAAAUGAGGUCAGGACUUUACUUUUUUAACCCAAAUCAACUGACUUUGCAUGUGCAGACCCUGUAGGAGCUUGAUUUUCUGGCCCCCAUUUAGCCCCAUGCCUGGUACAGUGUAGCUGUUCUGUUUAACAAAGAAUGUUAAGUGAUGAUGAAACCAGGAAGACUGAGCUAAGAGUAAGGAAAUACUUAGGAUAGCAAGACCAACCCAUGGAUGACUUUUUUUUUUUUUUUUUUUUUUUUAAAUGAGCCAGGUGUGGGAAGCUAAUGGUAGAAGCUAGAAGCUUGGCUGUGGCCUGAAUUAGGUAUCUGGGAGGAACCUCAGAGUUGCAGGGGUGGGAAGCGGGACUGGGAUGGAACAUAAUAGCAGCCAAUGUUAACAAUAGGGAUUGAAGUAAAUGAGUUUCUUGGCCCCCUUCCAGCCGUCCCGCAACCCCAGCCUGCUGGCGGCUUACUAUAACCAGGCCACAGGCAGGCUCUAUGGUCCACCGCCCCCAUGCUCUGGGCAGGUUGGAGCCUGGAUAUGAAACAAUAGAAAUGAUGAUCAUUGAGUAAGGUCCUUAAUCCAACACUAUGUAAAUCUUAAAGCUGUCUGUUGGAAAUUGAUUAUAUUUUUCCACAGAGGUGAAUGAGUUAGGCAUUGAUAUAAAGCUCUCUCACUUACUCCCAGUACACAAAUUACAUAUAUUUUUUGAAAUCUCUCAUGAUCAUAUAAAUCAGAGGGCAAUUAAGUUCUCUCGAAGUCUGGAGAACAGAAUAUCAAAACCGGGCAGAGAAAAAUGGUCUUACCUGGUUGAAUACCAGCGAAUUCCUCUCGCCGUUAAAUAAAGUGCCAUCUUGCCAAAUGCCAGUGAGCAAAGUAUUCUAGAAACUAGAAGCAGCUGGAGUUUCUUCUCAGCCCUAGAGUGGUGUGCCUGGUAACGCUGGCCACUUCUCCUAGGGAGGGAGAGGACCGGGUGACGGCAGAAGUCACAGCGCCCGUACAGCCUUUCUUGAUGUAUAUUUAGAGGAUGUUCAAACAGGGUGUGAGGAAUCUGUCCUCAAUAAAUUUGGGGAAGAGCCACAUAACAUGUUUGACUCUGAGAGAGUCACAAUAUCUAUUAAUAUACAAAAUUUCUGAGCAUGCCUGCAACAUGGAAAAAGUAACUCGGAUUAGUUCCGCAGGUACCGAGUUGACGAGCCUAGUUUUGCGUGUUAUACCAUAGAGCGCCUGGGGAAACGGCCAGUCGGAAGAUACGCUUCCGGUCUCUUUUGGGGAGUGAGAAGUUCUCCGUGCCAAAUCUCUCCAGGCCAUUUCAGGAGUCCGCUUCCCCAGGCCCUUUUGGGAGGGGUCACUGUGGGAGGAAUAGAUUUGCCUUUAGUGGCAUCUGCUUGGGUGGUCUCAGACUCUGGAGAACCAAGAGAGCCUGAAGGUUCGGAGUGGGGAGUCCAAAAACGACAGUUCUGAAAGUUCCUCAGAGCUCUUGCUGGGGUCUUGGCUUAAGAAAAGUUGUGAAAGGGGAUCCUAGGUUUCCUUCUAGGUCAGUGCUGGUUUAGCAGAAAAUAAUGCAAGCCACGGAUGCACUUUAAAAUUUCCUAAUAGCCACAUAUAAUUGAAUGAAUUUUCAUAAUAUCUUUUAGUGAACUCAGCAACAUAUUUUAGUUCACCGUGUAUUCCAUUUACAAAAAUGCUAAUGAGAUAGCUUUUUUUUUUUUUUAAGUCGGUCUUUGAAAUCGUGCGUGUGUUUGAGACUUAUGACAUACGGUGGCCUGGACUGGCUGCACACAUGUGGUGAUGCCUAGCUCUGGUUCAGCAAAGAAGUAGUUGCAGUGCAAGAAAGGAAGUUGGUUUCCAGGCUUACCCCACUGUUUGGAAAUGGGUGGGUUCAAUGCUGAUUUCCUCUCUGAGAUGGUUAAUUUUGUGUCAACUUGACUGCGCUAAGGGAAGCCCAUUUAGCUGGCUAGACAUUAUUACUGGGUGUGUCUGUGAGAGUGUUUCCAAAAGAGAUCAGCAUUCGAACUUGUAGGUGAAUAAAAAGAAAGAUUGCUGCAGGCAUCACCCAAACCUUGAGGGCCUGAAUAGAACAAAAAGGCGGAGGAAGGGCGAAUUUGCUCUCUGCUUGAGCCAGAGUCCAUCUCCUGCUGUCCUCAGACAUCAGUACUCCUGCUUCUGAGACCUUCGGAUCCGUCCAGGACCUACACCAUCGGCCCCCGAUACCCGGGCUGAGUUACACCACCGGCUUUCCUGGUUCUCUGGCGUGCAGACCAUGGGGCUUCUCAGCCUCCAUAACCGUGUGAACCGAUCCCUGUAACAAAUCUCUCUUUGUAUCUCUGUAUAUCCUACUGAUUCGGCUUCUCUGGAGAACACUGCCUAAUACAGACUCUAAAACAGGAAAUCUCAAGGGUGAGAACUCUUACUCACCACGGAACCCUCUAGGCCUUAGCAUUUUAUCAAUGUGUGGCUCAUCAAACACGUACAUUUGUUUUGUUCUUCCCUUUUCACAAAGCAUCUUGUGAUCUGUUUUCUCAAUAACACCUUCACACGCCCUGCUGCUUCUCAGCACGUCCGCAUUUAGCACGCUCUCCUCUGAUGAAGGUUCGAGCUUGUCUAUCUGUCUUAACUACCCCUCCCCGCUCCCUGUGUCUCCUUCACUGUGGCUACCCAGGGUUGUUUCAUACGGAGCAGGCAAUCACUUUCUGUUGAAGCAAACAUAAUUGAAUUGUUUCCAGCGUGAUGGAAGAAAGAGAACAUGCCUUGAAAAUUGGACAGACCUGGGUUUGAGCACUAUGAGGGGUGUGUGUUUGAACACAACAAAUUCCUCUGCUUCACUCCUCAGAGGUUUAUUUACUGGCGUUAAAAAGAAAACCACAGGCCCCAAAUGACAUCACUUAGACUCAGGCCCCAGCCAGCAAACCAAGACUCAAUACCUGAUGUAGCAGCACAGGCAAGCCCCUGGGAAUGUAACCUUUAGCCAGUCAACAAGGAAUUUGCUGGUCGAUACUAGGCUAUUUGCUGAUAGGCCCCUCCUUCUCCCCUUAGGAGGGUGACCUUGCCUAAACUACGAACACCUUGCUAAUAAAUUCCUUUCUUCUUCUCUG
Long non-coding RNA from Leopardus geoffroyi (Geoffroy's cat), 4030 nucleotides. RefSeq lists it as uncharacterized. Lineage: Eukaryota; Metazoa; Chordata; Mammalia; Carnivora; Felidae. The record is from RefSeq and is a predicted model, not a curated record. The transcript has 2 exons.